RNAcentral lists this unclassified non-coding RNA (627 nucleotides) under Hevea brasiliensis (rubber tree). Lineage: Eukaryota; Viridiplantae; Streptophyta; Magnoliopsida; Malpighiales; Euphorbiaceae. The record is from RNAcentral.
CGUACCUAUACUUUUCCAGGGCCUGCAAAACAAACAAAAUGGUGGCAAGUGAAUGUUCAAAUGAUAGUUUAGAACCUAACUUUUAUCAAAUGGCAGUGAUGAGCAGUCAGAAGUUAAUUCCUUAACUACUAGUUUGAUUCAUGGCAUCUUCAUGUUGCCAUAAUAAACAAAUAUCAAUUUUGUAUUACAAAAAUCAGUUAGUGCUUGUGCAUAUUUUUCAAAGAAAAAAAAACUUACAUUUCUGAUUUUGUCAAUUAUCUUAUAAUAUUUUUGAAGAAAUAUUUCAUCCAAAUAUGAACUUCCAUACGAUCUAAAAUAAAACUCCAUAUAAUUUGUGUGCAUCAAAGAGAGAGAGGAAGAAUAGGAAAACUGUAGCAUUGCAUUCAACAGUAAUAUAUUCGUGUAAAUGUGGGCCUUCUGAAAUAUUUUUGAAUUGCAGAUCCAAAACUAGAAUAUUGCAACUACUAGUGUGAAAAAUAUUUCUGGAUGAUCCACAACACCAAUUAGAGGCACUACGUGCAGGGCAUCAGGGGGGGCUAACAUAUGCAUAUAUAAUAUAAAGUGCAUUCAGCAGAUGCCCAUGUACAAAAAUAGACAAAAUUACCUUCUGUUUAGAUAGGGUAUCUG